UACGAAGGGGGCUAGCGUUGCUCGGAAUCACUGGGCGUAAAGCGCACGCAGGCGGGCUGCCAAGUCGGGGGUGAAAUCUUGGAGCUCAACUCCAGAACUGCCUUCGAUACUGGCGAUCUUGGAGUCCGGGAGAGGUGAGUGGAACUGCGAGUGUAGAGGUGAAAUUCGUAGAUAUUCGCAUGAACACCAGUGGCGAAGGCGGCUCACUGGCCCGGUACUGACGCUGAGGUGCGAAAGCGUGGGGAGCAAACAGG
RNAcentral lists this ribosomal RNA (254 nucleotides) under uncultured bacterium. Its description in RNAcentral is "partial 16S ribosomal RNA". It matches the Rfam family "Bacterial small subunit ribosomal RNA", at positions 524 to 776 of the family's 1533-position model. The record is from RNAcentral.